This is a long non-coding RNA of Dalotia coriaria, 566 nucleotides long. RefSeq lists it as uncharacterized. The transcript has 3 exons. The record is from RefSeq and is a predicted model, not a curated record. Lineage: Eukaryota; Metazoa; Arthropoda; Insecta; Coleoptera; Staphylinidae.
AGAUUCUGGUUUAAAACAAUAUUAAUGUGCAGAUCGCCGAUUUUGGUUCAAUUUUUAGUCUCUGGACUAGUCGUAGCACUAAUAUUAAUAACAGAAUUAAUUAAAUUUGAUAUGCUUUCGGUGUUUCACUUAGCAGUUUAUGUAUGGGCCACGUUCAUAAUAGGAUAUAUUGGCGAAAGAGUGAUAACUUUAGGCGAAAAUAUCAGAGAAGCUACUUUUUACGCUUGUCCAUGGGAUGGUGAUAUUCAGAGUGUGCGGAUGCUUAUGUUUAUGAAUAUGAAUUCCUAUCGUGGAUUCGUUUUUCCUCUUGGAGAUUAUGGAUCUUAUUCGUUACCGCUUGUGCUUAGUGUAUGUAACUAAUUCAUUGAGAGAUUCAUCUUAUUCUUAUGCGACAAUUUUUCAGGUUUUCAAGUUUGCUUAUUCUAUUGUUAUGCUUUUUCUCAAUACUGCACAAAUUAAAUUAGUGUGAAUGUUUAACAGGAUGUUUAUUAUUAGAAUAGAGAAUGUUUAGGGGUAGUAGAUUAAUUUUCUGGAUUCUAAUAUUGUGGAAAUUGGGAUAAUUGUGC